UCCCUGGUGGCCUAGUAGUUAAGACUCAGCACUUUCACUGCUGAGGCCCAGGUUCAAUCCCUGGUCCCAGAA
Molecule: transfer RNA, 72 nt
Filed under: Ovis aries (sheep)
Lineage: Eukaryota; Metazoa; Chordata; Mammalia; Artiodactyla; Bovidae
Rfam family: tRNA
About the family: Transfer RNA (tRNA) molecules are approximately 80 nucleotides in length.
Source: Rfam by way of RNAcentral